AGGAGAGCUUGCUCUCUGGGUGGCGAGUGGCGGACGGGUGAGGAAUAUAUCGGAAUCUACCCUUUCGUGGGGGAUAACGUAGGGAAACUUACGCUAAUACCGCAUACGAACUGAGGUUGAAAGCGGCGGACCGCAAGGCGUCGCGCGGAUGGAUGAGCCGAUAUCCGAUUAGCUAGUUGGUGGGGUAAAGGCCCACCAAGGCGACGAUCGGUAGCUGGUCUGAGAGGAUGAUCAGCCACACUGGAACUGAGACACGGUCCAGACUCC
Molecule: ribosomal RNA, 267 nt
Filed under: unidentified marine bacterioplankton
Lineage: Bacteria
Description: partial 16S ribosomal RNA
Rfam family: Bacterial small subunit ribosomal RNA
Source: RNAcentral